GUAGGUGGCAAGCGUUGUCCGGAAUUAUUGGGCGUAAAGCGCGCGCAGGCGGUUCUUUAAGCCUGAUGUGAAAGCCCACGGGCUCAACCGUGGAGGGUCAUUGGAAACUGGAGAACUUGAGUACAGAAGAGGAAAGCGGAAUUCCACGUGUAGCGGUGAAAUGCGUAGAGAUGUGGAGGAACACCAGUGGCGAAGGCGGCUUUCUGGUCUGUAACUGACGCUGAGGCGCGAAAGCGUGGGGAGCAAACAGGAUUAGAUACCCUGGUAGUCCACGCCGUAAACGAUGAGUGCUAAGUGUUAGGGGGGUUUCCGCCCCCUUAGUGCUGCAGCUAACGCAUUAAGCACUCCGCCUGGGGAGUACGGCCGCAAGGCUG
RNAcentral lists this ribosomal RNA (374 nucleotides) under uncultured organism. Its description in RNAcentral is "partial 16S ribosomal RNA". It matches the Rfam family "Bacterial small subunit ribosomal RNA", at positions 527 to 896 of the family's 1533-position model. The record is from RNAcentral.